AGAGUUUGAUCCUGGCUCAGGACGAACGCUGGCGGCGGGCUUAACACAUGCAAGUCGAAGGAGAAGGGUGGUGCUUGCAUCAUCUGGAGACUGGCGGACGGGUGAGUAACGCGUAGAUAACCUGCCUAUAUCAGGGGGAUAACGUCUCGAAAGGGGCGCUAAUACCGCAUAAUGCAGCGGGGCCGCAUGGCCACAGUUGUUAAAGGACUUCGGUUCGGAUAUAGAGGGGUCUGCGUACUAUUAGUUAGUUGGUGAGGUAACGGCUCACCAAGGCGAUGAUAGUUAGGGGGUCUGAGAGGAUGAUCCCCCACACUGGGACUGAGACACGGCCCAGACUCCUACGGGAGGCAGCAGUGAGGAAUCUUGCGCAAUGGGCGAAAGCCUGACGCAGCCACGCCGCGUGCCGGAAGACGGCCCUAUGGGUUGUAAACGGCUUUUUAAUGGGAAGAACGCCUGGCUUUCGAGCUGGGGUGACGGUACCAUUGGAAUAAGCACCGGCUAACUCCGUGCCAGCAGCCGCGGUAAUACGGAGGGUGCAAGCGUUGUCCGGAAUCAUUGGGUGUAAAGGGUGCGUAGGCGGGAGCCUAAGUCUGUGGUGAAAUCUUACCGCUUAACGGUGAAAUGGCCAUGGAUACUGGGUUUCUUGAGUACAGAAGAGGUCGGUGGAAUUCGUAGUGUAGCGGUGAAAUGCAUAGAUAUUACGAAGAACAUCAGUGGCGAAGGCGGCCGGCUGGACUGUAACUGACGCUGAGGCACGAAAGCGUG
Molecule: ribosomal RNA, 765 nt
Filed under: uncultured Bacteroidota bacterium
Lineage: Bacteria; Pseudomonadati; Bacteroidota
Description: bacterial SSU rRNA
Rfam family: Bacterial small subunit ribosomal RNA
Source: RNAcentral